UUCAACAAGAGUGAAGAGAGGAGGAUGGAGAGGAGGAUGGAGAGGAAACUGGAGAAGAGACGAUAUAGGAGACUGGAGAGGAGGAUGGAGAGGUGGAAGAUAGAGAGGAGGAAGAGGAGGAUGGAGAGGAGGAAGAGGAGGAUGGAGAGGACGAGAAUCUGGCUCUGGCACGAGCCACCUGAUACUUAUUUAUCUGGGAACUUUUCCGUACCGGCCACGUUUUUGACUUUGAAACUGAUAUGUAUUAUCUGUAUGACUGACCAUAGAAGAUUGUGCGGAUAAUGUAUGUAUCGAUGGCGUGAAUAAAUGUGUGUGAACAUGAUGAAGAUGCUACAGUAGAUAUAUAAGGUUGAAUGUUGAUAGCUGUGUGUGGAUGUGAUGUUAAAUGUGUUAUAAUCGAUGUAUAAGCUUGAAUGUUUGUUUGUGAUUACCUAUGUGUAGAAAUAUGUGUCUGUAUGUUUGUGUGAUUGUGUAUAAACAUUAGUAUUAAAAUUAUUCUCAUCCAUAUCGGUACAAUUAUCUGAAUUCUCAAAAAUUCUUAGAUGACUGAUGCCCUCGUCAAUGUCUUCAGAUGUGACGGUUUUUGAUGGGAUCUUCCUGUGUUUCGGUGAUUCAUCCGAGGAAGUGGUUCGAUAGCAGGAAGCAACGGUGCGCUUUGGACGUUCCUUCAUCUGUUUGUGACAAAAAAAAUAUGUCGAUUUAAGGCUCCGGAGUACUCAUCGUGAAACUCUGAGUUGACGGUGGCGACAUAGGUUGAGAGUGCGGUAGGAAUAAGAACUAUAUGCAACGACUUACCAGUGAUCAUAUGAUUGGAAAAAGAUUUAAGAAAAGAAGA
Molecule: long non-coding RNA, 835 nt
Organism: Camponotus floridanus (Florida carpenter ant)
Lineage: Eukaryota; Metazoa; Arthropoda; Insecta; Hymenoptera; Formicidae
Exons: 3
Source: RefSeq, a predicted model, not a curated record